AACGAACGCUGGCGGCAGGCUUAACACAUGCAAGUCGAACGCCCCGCAAGGGGAGUGGCCGACGGGUGAGUAACGCGUGGGAACAUACCCUUUUCUACGGAAUAGCUCUGGGAAACUGGAAUUAAUACCGUAUACGCCCUACGGGGGAAAGAUUUAUCGGGGAAGGAUUGGCCCGCCUUGGAUUAGCUAGUUGGUGGGGUAAAGGCCUACCAAGGCGACGAUCCAUAGCUGGUCUGAGAGGAUGAUCAGCCACAUUGGGACUGAGACACGGCCCAAACUCCUACGGGAGGCAGCAGUGGGGAAUAUUGGACAAUGGGCGCAAGCCUGAUCCAGCCAUGCCGCGUGAGUGAUGAAGGCCUUAGGGUUGUAAAGCUCUUUCACCGAUGAAGAUAAUGACGGUAGUCGGAGAAGAAGCCCCGGCUAACUUCGUG
Molecule: ribosomal RNA, 431 nt
Filed under: uncultured bacterium
Lineage: Bacteria
Description: partial 16S ribosomal RNA
Rfam family: Bacterial small subunit ribosomal RNA
Source: RNAcentral